CUGAGCCAAAGGCCUUGUGGAAUGGUCCCAGGGGAAGGGGCAGGGAUUUAUUCUUCUCAGGCCGAGACUCAUUUUCUUUUGUCUUUUUGCCUUUUGCAGGGAGACCCUGGGAUUCAAGGAUACCCUGGCAGAAAGGGUGCUCCUGGGAUGGCCAUGGCAGGGAUGAAGGUCAGUUCUACUCUACGCUUCAGCUUCUAAAGAAGGGCACGUUUAAGAGCCAGAGAGAGCUGUGAGAGCAAAGGAAAGUGGUCAAACAGCUCCCACUGAAGGGGAAUAGUAGAACUGCUGUAGAUUCUUGCAGAGAAAGCCAGAUCUGUCCUCAGCUGCAUCUGCUGCUCCACACAGCUCUGAGCAGAGACAGGUGGUACUUCACAGCAGUAUCGGGAUGGCAGCUGAGCAAAAAGUGAGCUGGGUGCCAGUGUAGGGGCUGUAAGCCACCUUGAUGGAGCUGAGGUGUGCUGUCUUCAUUGACUCCAGCUGCUGAGGAAAAGGCAGAGAUAAAGAGGUUAUCCCCAGAACUGGUGGGGAUAGUUUUCUCCCUGAUGCUGCAAUGUUCCCCUAUUUAUACAUUCCCUCAUCCUUGCUGUAUUCUCAGCUUUGCUGUGUUCCUGUGCAGAGAUAGGAGUAAAUUCCUUAGUGCCAGCAGAUGAGUCUUGACUUAGUAUGGCAAGUCUUCUCUUGAAGCACAGCAAGGUGGUUGAUCCAUCUUGCUGUUUAUUUUCAGCUGGCUAAUGAAGAUGAAACAAGCUUCAGGCAGAAGUUCUAAUAGGCAUUUAAAGCAUCCUCAGGCCCCAAGUCCUCCACAGAUGAAUGCUCCUUUCUUCACCCUGUUAGCUCUAGGAGGUUUCUCUGUUCACUUUCUAUUCUCUCACUUUAUUUUCUUGUCUCUUCCUUAACAGGGUGAGCCUGGGACUCCAGGAGAAAAGGUACUUGGAAAUCAUUGCUCUGAGCCUGCACUUCUGUUUUGUUUGUGAUUUGUUUGUGAUUCCCCCCCCCCCCCCCCGCUUCCCAGAGCAGCUGAGGAAUAACUCUGUGCUCCCCAAGGCACAAAUCCAGGUCUUAGUGACACCUGCCAGC
RNAcentral lists this long non-coding RNA (1077 nucleotides) under Coturnix japonica (Japanese quail). RNAcentral describes it as "lncRNA (ENSCJPG00005006726.1)". Lineage: Eukaryota; Metazoa; Chordata; Aves; Galliformes; Phasianidae. The record is from RNAcentral.